This 200-nucleotide ribosomal RNA is filed under the name uncultured bacterium. RNAcentral's name for it is "partial 16S ribosomal RNA". It matches the Rfam family "Bacterial small subunit ribosomal RNA", at positions 8 to 210 of the family's 1533-position model. The record is from RNAcentral.
AGAGUUUGAUCCUGGCUCAGGACGAACGCUGGCGGCGUGCUUAACACAUGCAAGUCGAACGGUGAAGCCCUUCGGGGUGGAUCAGUGGCGAACGGGUGAGUAACACGUGGGCAAUCUGCCUGCACUCUGGGACAACACCGGGAAACCGGUGCUAAUACCGGAUACGACGUACCUCGGCAUCGAGUGUGCGUGGAAAGCUC